CACCCUAACUUCUGCCCUCACC
Molecule: microRNA, 22 nt
Filed under: Monodelphis domestica (gray short-tailed opossum)
Lineage: Eukaryota; Metazoa; Chordata; Mammalia; Didelphimorphia; Didelphidae
Description: mdo-miR-12357-3p
Source: miRBase by way of RNAcentral